Molecule: ribosomal RNA, 321 nt
Filed under: uncultured Chloroflexota bacterium
Lineage: Bacteria; Bacillati; Chloroflexota
Description: bacterial SSU rRNA
Rfam family: Bacterial small subunit ribosomal RNA
Source: RNAcentral
GAUGAACGCUGGCGGCGUGCUUAAUACAUGUAAGUCGGACGGAGCGUUAGCAAUAGCGCUUAGUGGCGAACGGGUGAGUAACACGUUGGUGACCUGCCCCGAAGCGGGGGAUAACAGUUCGAAAGGAUUGCUAAUACCGCAUGUGGUCAUCGGGUUUAGAAACCGAUGUCUAAAGGAGCAAUUCGCUUUGGGAGGGACCUGCGUCCCAUCAGCUAGUUGGUGAGGUAAUGGCUCACCAAGGCGACGACGGGUAGGGGACCUGAGAGGGUGGCCCCCCACAAUGGAACUGGAAACACGGGUCCAUACACCUACGGGUGGCAG